UGUCCUACGGGGGGCAGCAGUGGGGAAUAUUGGGCAAUGGGCGCAAGCCUGACCCAGCAACGCCGCGUGAAGGAAGAAGGCUUUCGGGUUGUAAACUUCUUUUCUCAGGGACGAAGCAAGUGACGGUACCUGAGGAAUAAGCCACGGCUAACUACGUGCCAGCAGCCGCGGUAAUACGCAGGUGGCAAGCGUUAUCCGGAUUUACUGGGUGUAAAGGGCGUGUAGGCGGGAAAGCAAGUCAGAUGUGAAAAUUAUGGGCUCAACCCAUAACCUGCAUUUGAAACUGUAGUUCUUGAGGGAUGGAG
RNAcentral lists this ribosomal RNA (305 nucleotides) under uncultured bacterium. Its description in RNAcentral is "bacterial SSU rRNA". It matches the Rfam family "Bacterial small subunit ribosomal RNA", at positions 335 to 654 of the family's 1533-position model. The record is from RNAcentral.